Molecule: ribosomal RNA, 301 nt
Filed under: uncultured bacterium
Lineage: Bacteria
Description: partial 16S ribosomal RNA
Rfam family: Bacterial small subunit ribosomal RNA
Source: RNAcentral
CAGCAGCCGCGGGAACACGUAGGUGGCAAGCGUUGUUCGGAAUUAUUGGGCGUAAAGGGCUCGCAGGCGGUUUCUUAAGUCUGAUGUGAAAGCCCCCGGCUCAACCGGGGAGGGUCAUUGGAAACUGGGAAACUUGAGUGCAGAAGGGGAGAGUGGAAUUCCACGUGUAGCGGUGAAAUGCGUAGAGAUGUGGAGGAACACCAGUGGCGAAGGCGACUCUCUGGUCUGUAACUGACGCUGAGGAGCGAAAGCGUGGGGAGCGAACAGGAUUAGAUACCCGCGUAGUCCCUGUCUCUUAUAC